Molecule: long non-coding RNA, 869 nt
Filed under: Selaginella moellendorffii
Lineage: Eukaryota; Viridiplantae; Streptophyta; Lycopodiopsida; Selaginellales; Selaginellaceae
Description: long non-coding RNA (SMOE_LNC001757)
Source: RNAcentral
GCUCAUUGACAAAGGCAUGUUGAGCGAGAAAAUGAUGAACAUGGGGUGCCAAUGGGACCAGAAACUUCCAUGCUUUGCUGUAGGAUUAGGCAACGAUUACAUACCUCACCUUGUUUUAGCCUUGUUCUUCGCUUGUGUUCUGUUCGUUUCUCUCGAGUUCCCAUGCCUGCCUGUUAAAAGAAGAAAAACAAAGGAAGUUUAGAUGGUGAUCUUAGUGGAACUCAUAAGCGGGUGGCAAGUGGAGCUCAAAAACAAUGAUGGAUGUAAUCACGAGGAGGAGAAUAAAAAGACUAUAACGAGACAGAAACGCUGCUCUGCAUGGACCCAGAAAAGCUUAGUUUUGUCCUGGAGCAUCCAGGAAGACUGUAAAAACUACGCUGGCUGCGAGAACUAAACAAACGCGAGAGCUUACGAGCCCACGUUCUCGACACAAAAACUAACCUCGAAACGCUGGUGGUUGGGAGGCACCGCAAGCUCCCCGCCUCUACAAAAGCAAAAAAGCCUAGCGUUAGUGCAAGGUAGUCGAGCAAGCAUGCACGGGCCAGCAGCAUAAGAAGAGAAAAAAACGCGAAAAGUGAAAGAGAAAAGAAGAGUGCUCACCAUGGAUGGCUGCUGCUGUGCUGGUGUCUAUCCAUUCAAGGAGAUGUUGCCAUCGUUACGGUUUUAAAAUGCGGGUCAAAACGGGGUCUCACCUUGUUUUUGUUCCUGGAGGGUGAGGACGACUUGUGUGAAGGAGCAACAACGUAAAAAAUGAAGAGGAUCACCUUUGUGCGGGAUAUACCAGCGCCUAUCGAAUACCGUGACCCGACGUUUCAGGAAUUGGCAGCAGCCGAAAGUGUCCGACUUAACAGCGGAGAAAGCUCAGCCUG